This 397-nucleotide ribosomal RNA is filed under the name uncultured bacterium. RNAcentral describes it as "partial 16S ribosomal RNA". It matches the Rfam family "Bacterial small subunit ribosomal RNA", at positions 523 to 918 of the family's 1533-position model. The record is from RNAcentral.
AUACGUAGGGGGCGAGCGUUGUCCGGAAUGAUUGGGCGUAAAGGGCGCGUAGGCGGCGCGGUAAGUCUGGAGUGAAAGUCCUGCUUUCAAGGUGGGAAUUGCUCUGGAUACUGCCGCGCUUGAGUGCAGGAGAGGUUAUCGGAAUUCCCGGUGUAGCGGUGAAAUGCGUAGAGAUCGGGAGGAACACCAGUGGCGAAGGCGGGUAACUGGACUGCAACUGACGCUGAGGCGCGAAAGUGUGGGGAGCAAACAGGAUUAGAUACCCUGGUAGUCCACACUGUAAACGAUGAAUGCUAGGUGUAAGAGGUAUCGACCCCUUUUGUGCCGGAGUCAACACAAUAAGCAUUCCGCCUGGGGAGUACGGCCGCAAGGUUGAAACUCAAAUGAAUUGACGGGG